UUGCAGUCCAAUUGCCACUAAAGUCAAAGAAAAGCAAGUGAGGUCCUCAAAUGUUCGGGAGAAACACUUCAGGGGCUCUGAGUCUGAUGCCAGCAAGGAGACAUCUAAGGAACAGCUGAGAUGAGGAAACGGAGAUACAGAGAAGUUAAAGAUUUGCCCAAGAUUACAUACUAAGACAUAAAGCUCAGGAGGUCAACCUUCAGAACCCACCUGCAUAACAACCAUGCUGUGCUAUGCUCUUGGGAGGCUAAUCUGCUGAGAAAUAACUCUCUGCCCCACAACCAUGCCAAAUGGUGGGUAUUUCCACUUUAAUAGUUCUGUGACUUUGCGCAUGAAUAAACACAUUCUCCCUGGA
Molecule: long non-coding RNA, 355 nt
Filed under: Pan troglodytes (chimpanzee)
Lineage: Eukaryota; Metazoa; Chordata; Mammalia; Primates; Hominidae
Description: long non-coding RNA NONPTRT001008
Source: RNAcentral